RNAcentral lists this ribosomal RNA (270 nucleotides) under uncultured archaeon. RNAcentral's name for it is "partial 16S ribosomal RNA". It matches the Rfam family "Archaeal small subunit ribosomal RNA", at positions 477 to 747 of the family's 1478-position model. The record is from RNAcentral.
CGGCAGCCCUAGUGGUGACCGUUUUUAUUGGGCCUAAAGCGUUCGUAGCCGGAUAGGCAAGUCUUUGGGUAAAUCCUACGUCUUAAGCGUGGGACUUCUAAAGAUACUACCUGUCUUGAGGCCGGGAGAGGCUAGAGGUACUCCUGGGGUAGGGGUAAAAUCCUAUAAUCCCAGGGGGACCACCGAUGGCGAAGGCAUCUAGCUGGAACGGGCCUGACGGUGAGGAACGAAACCCAGGGGAGCGAGCCGGAUUAGAUACCCGAGUAGUCC